RNAcentral lists this ribosomal RNA (993 nucleotides) under Staphylococcus aureus. RNAcentral describes it as "partial 23S ribosomal RNA". It matches the Rfam family "Bacterial large subunit ribosomal RNA", at positions 1377 to 2365 of the family's 2925-position model. Lineage: Bacteria; Bacillati; Bacillota; Bacilli; Caryophanales; Staphylococcaceae. The record is from RNAcentral.
GGGUUAGUCGGGUCCUAAGCUGAGGCCGACAGGCGUAGGCGAUGGAUAACAGGUUGAUAUUCCUGUACCACCUAUAAUCGUUUUAAUCGAUGGGGGGACGCAGUAGGAUAGGCGAAGCGUGCGAUUGGAUUGCACGUCUAAGCAGUAAGGCUGAGUAUUAGGCAAAUCCGGUACUCGUUAAGGCUGAGCUGUGAUGGGGAGAAGACAUUGUGUCUUCGAGUCGUUGAUUUCACACUGCCGAGAAAAGCCUCUAGAUAGAAAAUAGGUGCCCGUACCGCAAACCGACACAGGUAGUCAAGAUGAGAAUUCUAAGGUGAGCGAGCGAACUCUCGUUAAGGAACUCGGCAAAAUGACCCCGUAACUUCGGGAGAAGGGGUGCUCUUUAGGGUUAACGCCCAGAAGAGCCGCAGUGAAUAGGCCCAAGCGACUGUUUAUCAAAAACACAGGUCUCUGCUAAACCGUAAGGUGAUGUAUAGGGGCUGACGCCUGCCCGGUGCUGGAAGGUUAAGAGGAGUGGUUAGCUUCUGCGAAGCUACGAAUCGAAGCCCCAGUAAACGGCGGCCGUAACUAUAACGGUCCUAAGGUAGCGAAAUUCCUUGUCGGGUAAGUUCCGACCCGCACGAAAGGCGUAACGAUUUGGGCACUGUCUCAACGAGAGACUCGGUGAAAUCAUAGUACCUGUGAAGAUGCAGGUUACCCGCGACAGGACGGAAAGACCCCGUGGAGCUUUACUGUAGCCUGAUAUUGAAAUUCGGCACAGCUUGUACAGGAUAGGUAGGAGCCUUUGAAACGUGAGCGCUAGCUUACGUGGAGGCGCUGGUGGGAUACUACCCUAGCUGUGUUGGCUUUCUAACCCGCACCACUUAUCGUGGUGGGAGACAGUGUCAGGCGGGCAGUUUGACUGGGGCGGUCGCCUCCUAAAAGGUAACGGAGGCGCUCAAAGGUUCCCUCAGAAUGGUUGGAAAUCAUUCAUAGAGUGUAAAGGCAUAAGGG